CCUCCCGGGGUGGAUUCGGCCCAUAUGUCUUCAGGGACUUCCUCCUCGCUGGAGAUCCACCGGUAAUCCCUUAGGCCUAUCCAGGGUUGAGGACCUGGAAAGGAGGUCGCAUUUAGGAGUGGCCGAGGAAGAGAUGUGACGCGAUCCUGAGAAGUAUGCAGGGCACCGCUCACUCCUCACCGUUACACGGACCCUCUCAGCAGGAGACAUGCAUGUCAUUCCAGUUUCUUGAACCUCGUCGCCUUGUACUACUAGCAAAGUACUCAUCAUUGGUUCUCUGGUCUUGGAAUACUGACCAACUAUAAGCCCUUACAGUAAUGGUCAACUUAAGUUGUAGUGCCUAUGUUAAGUGAUUUAAAGCUUUAAGUUGGUUUAAAGUGUUUUGUGAUAUCAACUUGAACUUUAUA
Molecule: long non-coding RNA, 407 nt
Organism: Macrobrachium nipponense
Lineage: Eukaryota; Metazoa; Arthropoda; Malacostraca; Decapoda; Palaemonidae
Exons: 3
Source: RefSeq, a predicted model, not a curated record